This 85-nucleotide transfer RNA is filed under the name Felis catus (domestic cat). It matches the Rfam family "tRNA". From Rfam's summary of the family: Transfer RNA (tRNA) molecules are approximately 80 nucleotides in length. Their secondary structure includes four short double-helical elements and three loops (D, anti-codon, and T loops). The record is from Rfam by way of RNAcentral. Lineage: Eukaryota; Metazoa; Chordata; Mammalia; Carnivora; Felidae.
GCCUGGGUGGCUCAGUCAGUUAAGCAACUGACUUCGGCUCAGGUCAUGAUCUCACGGUUCGUGGGUUCGAGCCCCACAUCAGGCU